Molecule: long non-coding RNA, 1046 nt
Filed under: Gallus gallus (chicken)
Lineage: Eukaryota; Metazoa; Chordata; Aves; Galliformes; Phasianidae
Description: lncRNA (ENSGALG00010029802.1)
Source: RNAcentral
GUGAGUCCGUGUGCUGCUCUCGAGAGGAGACGUCUCUCGAAAUAUAGUUGGUGCUUUGACGAUAAGACCUUUGACAGGAACAUGAAUGACACGAAUACUUUGAUCUCUAGUCUCAGAAGCUUCAAAAGCAAUUAUGAGUCAAGAGGGGUGAAUAUGGGCAGCAGCUACAGCAAUGCCCCAGAGGGUGGUGAGGCAGUAAUUAGAGACAAACCCCAGAGCAUCUCUGCCUGCACGAGCCGGGAGGAGGUGGGCCGGGGGAAGGCUCCGCAGCAAACAACAGCCCUUAUUCUUCUGAGAGACAUAAAACCGACAGGACUUUAUACAUUUCAAAGCAAAACAUCUUCAAAGACAGGUGCCUCCAACCGAACUCGCAUCAUCCCCUACACAGACCUCAAUGACGGAGUAAGAAGAGCUGCUGCAAGUAACUGUCAGCCCCAAAUACAAAACGCUGCUUCAAAGGACCACGUGAGAAUCCAGAGCUUACAGACCAAGCCAGGCAGCCGCUCGCCACGUUGCAGCUCGCUGGAACAGCCAGUGAUGAACCCGAAUUACACAAGCUGGGCGGCCCCAGCAAUGCAGACACCAAGCACACCGCAGACCCCAACCACAGCUGGCAACAGAUGCGGGGCAGCGGACACCUCACCCAUGUAUUUGUUGUUCUUUCAAACAGAUGUUGUGUUGUGGUGCAGAGAGAAGGAAGCUGCGUGUCUUUCUGCUCAGCAGGCAGGAAUGGUGGCAAUGCCCCUCCUGUCCCCGCCACAUCUCAUGCCCUGUGCAGGACACCCGUCAGGAUACAGCUUGGAGCAAGAGCCUGACAAAGAGUGAAGAAGGGAUGGCGGGGAUUUCUGGAUCCCAUUCCCCCGGAUCUAACAGGGUUUGGUGCUACAAUUCCUUAAGCAGCUUUGGAAAUCUUGACAACAGCAAACGGAAACCAACAGUGCCGGAUGGACCUCCCUCUGCCGCCACGAUGCCACUGUGCAUUGCCGUAUCAAAGUCACUGAACGCCUUGUGAUGCACCAAACAAUAGCAGAGGGGUGCACGAGCAC